AACGAACGCUGGCGGUAUGCUUAAUACAUGCAAGUCGAACGCGAAAGCUCUUUCGGGAGCAAGUAGAGUGGCGCACGGGUGAGUAACACGUAGGUGACCUGGCCUUUGGAGAGGGAUAACUUUUAGAAAUGAAAGCUAAUACCUCGUAAGAUUAAUUUAUUUGAAUAGAAUUAAUGAAAGGAUGCCUCUUCUUGAAAGCAUCUGCCGAAGGAUGGGCCUGCGGGAUAUUAGCUUGUUGGUGGGGUAAUGGCCUACCAAGGCGACGAUAUCUAGCCGAUUUGAGAGAAUGAUCGGCCACACUGGGACUGAGACACGGCCCAG
RNAcentral lists this ribosomal RNA (321 nucleotides) under uncultured bacterium. Its description in RNAcentral is "bacterial SSU rRNA". It matches the Rfam family "Bacterial small subunit ribosomal RNA", at positions 29 to 334 of the family's 1533-position model. The record is from RNAcentral.